CCCCAGUACGGCGAGUGAGCGGGAAGAGCUCAAGCUUAAAAUCUCCAUACUUGUAUGGCGAAUUGUAGUCUAUUGAGGCUGUUGUCAGCAUCGCGAUUGGGGACAAGUCCCUUGGAAAAGGGCAGCAUGGAGGGUGAUACUCCCGUCUCUGCUCCAAUCUGCGGUGUGUACGAUACGCUUUCUUUGAGUCGAGUUGUUUGGGAAUACAGCUCAAAGUAGGUGGUAAAUUCCAUCUAAAGCUAAAUAUUGGUGCGAGACCGAUAGCGAACAAGUACCGUGAGGGAAAGAUGAAAAGAACUUUGAAAAGAGAGUUAAAGAGUACCUGAAACUGUUGAAAGGGAACCGUAUCGUUUCCAGUGUUGUAUCCUAUGCAUAUUUCAUUCGUGGAGUAAUUUACGGGUGCCCUGUGCAUGGGUGUGACGUCAGGGUCAGUUUGUAUGCUGCGGGAGAUGGUCAGUGAGGAGGUGCGUCACUUCGGUGAAARUUAUAUCUCGCUGUCUAGUAGCCGUGGUUGAGACUGAGGUGCCUACAACAUGCCUUAAGGUUCUAUGUUGUCUCGUGUUGGUGACUGCUUUGAUAGCUUGCUAUGUCUGUGGUUUAUUAAUGCSAUUGAUGAUGUGGAUAACUUUUGCUGUUCGGGACUCUGGCGAAAUGGAGCGAUACRACCCGUCUUGAAAACACGGACCAA
RNAcentral lists this ribosomal RNA (688 nucleotides) under Saprolegnia parasitica. RNAcentral describes it as "partial 28S ribosomal RNA". It matches the Rfam family "Eukaryotic large subunit ribosomal RNA", at positions 78 to 669 of the family's 3401-position model. Lineage: Eukaryota; Oomycota; Saprolegniomycetes; Saprolegniales; Saprolegniaceae. The record is from RNAcentral.